This 304-nucleotide ribosomal RNA is filed under the name uncultured bacterium. Its description in RNAcentral is "partial 16S ribosomal RNA". It matches the Rfam family "Bacterial small subunit ribosomal RNA", at positions 506 to 807 of the family's 1533-position model. The record is from RNAcentral.
CAGCAGCAGCCGCGGUAAUACGUAGGGUGCAAGCGUUAAUCGGAAUUACUGGGCGUAAAGCGUGCGCAGGCGGUUAUAUAAGACAGAUGUGAAAUCCCCGGGCUCAACCUGGGAACUGCAUUUGUGACUGUAUAGCUAGAGUACGGCAGAGGGGGGUAGAAUUCCACGUGUAGCAGUGAAAUGCGUAGAGAUGUGGAGGAAUACCGAUGGCGAAGGCAGCCCCCUGGGCCAAUACUGACGCUCAUGCACGAAAGCGUGGGGAGCAAACAGGAUUAGAUACCCCCGUAGUCCCUGUCUCUUAUAC